Molecule: non-coding RNA, 233 nt
Filed under: Roseburia sp.
Lineage: Bacteria; Bacillati; Bacillota; Clostridia; Lachnospirales; Lachnospiraceae
Description: T-box sequence
Rfam family: T-box leader
About the family: Uncharged tRNA acts as the effector for transcription antitermination of genes in the T-box leader family. T-boxes are found upstream of many aminoacyl-tRNA synthetase genes and some amino acid biosynthetic genes usually in Gram-positive bacteria. The anticodon of a specific tRNA base pairs to a specifier sequence within the T-box motif, and the NCCA acceptor tail of the tRNA base pairs to a conserved bulge in the T-box antiterminator hairpin.
Source: RNAcentral
UUAAAGGCAAUGAAUGUGUACAGUAAUUCUUAAAUCACUUUCAGAGAGAGGAAGUCAUCGGCUGUAAGCUUCCUUAAGACAGAUUAAGAUAUGAAUUUUCGCACAGGAGCUUCAUGAAUGAAAGAUUUAUAUUUGUUUAGUUCAUGACGGAGGCUGCACGUUAAGCAGAAAAUGAGAGCCUGUAUGAAAGAUACAGGAAUCAGGGUGGUAACGCGGAUUAAUUCGUCCCUUGC